This 415-nucleotide ribosomal RNA is filed under the name uncultured Lactobacillus sp. Its description in RNAcentral is "bacterial SSU rRNA". It matches the Rfam family "Bacterial small subunit ribosomal RNA", at positions 53 to 453 of the family's 1533-position model. Lineage: Bacteria; Bacillati; Bacillota; Bacilli; Lactobacillales; Lactobacillaceae. The record is from RNAcentral.
UCUGCCUUGAAGAUCGGAGUGCUUGCACUCUGUGAAACAAGAUACAGGCUAGCGGCGGACGGGUGAGUAACACGUGGGUAACCUGCCCAAGAGAUCGGGAUAACACCUGGAAACAGAUGCUAAUACCGGAUAACAACAGAUGAUGCCUAUCAACUGUUUAAAAGAUGGUUCUGCUAUCACCCUUGGAUGGACCUGCGGUGCAUUAGCUAGUUGGUAGGGUAACGGCCUACCAAGGCGAUGAUGCAUAGCCGAGUUGAGAGACUGAUCGGCCACAUUGGGACUGAGACACGGCCCAAACUCCUACGGGAGGCAGCAGUAGGGAAUCUUCCACAAUGGACGCAAGUCUGAUGGAGCAACGCCGCGUGAGUGAAGAAGGGUUUCGGCUCGUAAAGCUCUGUUGUUGGUGAAGAAGGAC